RNAcentral lists this ribosomal RNA (472 nucleotides) under uncultured bacterium. RNAcentral's name for it is "bacterial SSU rRNA". It matches the Rfam family "Bacterial small subunit ribosomal RNA", at positions 28 to 507 of the family's 1533-position model. The record is from RNAcentral.
GACGAACGUUGGCGGUGCGCUUAAUGCAUGCAAGUCGAGGGAGAAGGCCUCGAUUCGUAAGAAUCGAGGUUGGAAACCGGCGAACGGGUGCGUAACACGUGAGAAACCUGCCCCCCAGACCCGGGAUAGCCCAGGGAAACUUGGAUUAAUACCGGAUACUCUCUUUGGAUCGCAUGAUCCGUUGAGGAAACAGUCCGCUGCUGGGGGAUGGUCUCGCGGCCUAUCAGCUUGUUGGUGAGGUAACGGCUCACCAAGGCGAAGACGGGUAGCUGGUCUGAGAGGACGAUCAGCCACACUGGAACUGAGACACGGUCCAGACUCCUACGGGAGGCAGCAGCAGGGAAUAUUGCACAAUGGGCGAAAGCCUGAUGCAGCGACACCGCGUGCGGGAUGACGGCCUUAGGGUUGUAAACCGCUCUCAGGAGGGAAGAAAAUGACGGUACCUCCAGAAGAAGCUCCGGCCAACUACGUG